GACGAACGCUGGCGGCGUGCUUAACACAUGCAAGUCGAACGGGUCUGCCCUGUUUUUUGCGGGGUGGGUCAGUGGCGAACGGGUGAGUAACACGUGAGUAACCUGCCCCUCACUUCUGGAUAACCGCUUGAAAGGGUGGCUAAUACGGGGUGUUCUGGCUGUGCCGCAUGGUGUGGCUGGGAAAGAUUCACUUUUGUGGUGUUUUGGUGGGGGAUGGGCUCGCGGCCUAUCAGCUUGUUGGUGGGGUGAUGGCCUGCCAAGGCUUUGACGGGUAGCCGGCCUGGGAGGGUGGGCGGUCACACUGGGGCUGAGAUACGGCCCAGACUCCUGCGGGAGGCAGCAGUGGGGGGUAGUGCACGAUGGGCGGAAGGCUGAUGCAGUGACGUCGCGUGAGGGAUGGAGGCCGUCGGGUUGUGAACCUCUUUCGCCGGUGAAGAAGGUCCUGCUCUUUGUGGUGGGGUUGACGGUAGCCGGGUUAUGAAGCGCCGGCUAACUACGUG
RNAcentral lists this ribosomal RNA (500 nucleotides) under uncultured bacterium. Its description in RNAcentral is "partial 16S ribosomal RNA". It matches the Rfam family "Bacterial small subunit ribosomal RNA", at positions 28 to 507 of the family's 1533-position model. The record is from RNAcentral.